AUAGCAUACUUUUUGGGGCAGAAUACAUGCUAAGAGUAACGAAAAAAACAGAAAACAAAACACAUGCACACGAUAUAUAGAGGAAACAGCAGUCCCCCUAAUCAAGAACAGAAACUUGAAAACUCGAGCCUGUUAUGUUUUCGGUUCCUUCUGACAACUGAUCAUCUUCACCAUCUCUUCCAAUCUUACAACUAAAUCUCUCUUUCUCUCUCUCACCCUCUCUCUCUCCUUCUUGGUGUUUCAAAUGGAAUCAAGUACACAAUUUUCCAAGACCAAGAUAUGAACUCCACACGUGGGACCCACAACACUGCCACUCCCCGCCGCCGCCGGAGGAAAACCACCAGCUCCGUUCGACGGAAGCUCAAAAUCCCGCCAACCCCUCUUUUGCAUUGGAAGUUUCUUCAAGAUGAUAGCAAGAGCAGACACCCCGCCUCCUCCGGCAGCGUUGCCAGCGGAGUGAAGGCGGCCGGACAGGGGGGUGUUGGUGUUGGAGGUAGUAGGGCUGCAGUGUCGGCUAGGAAGCUGGCGGCUGGGCUGUGGAACCUAUGCUUGGCGGGUGGUGGUGGAGGUGAUAAAGCUUUGAACUUGAAAUAUAGGAAAACUGAUGAAUUGGGGUUAGAGAUUGAAUCCCCAUUACUGCAUUCUAAACAUAUCAUGGAGGGUGCAAUGAAGUGGGAACCGAGAUGCUCAAGAAAAUUCAGUGACAUCUGCAGCUUUUAUAGCCACACAAAACUUCUUGAAAAUCAAGUUGCUAUGGUGUCUGCUUCUGCCAUGCAAGAACAACUUGUGCAAGCUCGAUUGCGCAUUCAUGAGCUUGAAGCUGAGUGCCAGUCUUAUAAGAAGAAAGUCAAACACUUACAGAAGAAGCUGGGAGAAGAAAGAACUUCAUGGCAGAGCAGCGAAUGUCAGAAAAUUCAUGCAGUUAUAGAUGAUUGUGAAAAUCAAAUAAGCAGGGAAAGAAAAAAACGUCAAAAGCUGGAACUUCUCAAUUAUAAAUUGGUCAAUGAGUUAUCAAAUGUCAAAUCCUCUGCAAAGCAGUUCAGGGAAGAUUAUGAAGAGGAGCAAAAGGCCAGAGAAAUAAUGGAAGAAGUUUGCAAUGAACUUGCCUAUAAAGUUGCGGAAGAUAAAGCUGAAGUUGAAACAUUCAAGACUGAGUCCAUCAGGAUUCAGGAAGAAAUGGAAGAAGAGAGGAAGAUGUUGCAGAUGGCUGAGGUAUGGCGUGAAGAACGUGUCCAAAUGAAGUUGAUUGAUGCAAAACUGGCCCUUGAAGACAAGGAUUGCCAGAUGAAUAAAUUAAUAACAGACCUUGAAACGUUUCUAAGGUCAAGAAGUGGCACCUUGGAUGUGAAUGAGUUAAGGAAAGCCGAGUUGAUCAGACAAGCAGCAAAAUUGGUAAAUGUUAAAGACAUCAAGGAAUUUUCUUAUGCCCCACCAAAAUUAAGUGAUAUAUACUCUAUUUAUGAAGAACUCAAGCAAAUUGAAGACAAUGAAAGGGAGAUUGAAGAAUGCAAGAAGAACAGCCCUGCAAGCAAUGCUUCCAAACUCCAUCUUGCCAUUUCUGAUUUGAAUGCCUAUAACUACCAUUCUUUGCAGCAAGGGUCGACUAUUAUUAAUGAUGAUAACUGUCAUUUAGAAGAAGACGCAAGAGGCUAUGAUGCAGUGAGUCAUGCUGAGGGUCAAGGUUCGAGUUAUUCCCUUGAAGGGAAUCAACUCUCUGUUAGCAGGCUUAGCCAAAGCAAAAAUGCUUGGCAGAUUGCAAGAGAAUGUGAUGAGAAUGAAGCUCAGAAUUCUCCAAACACACAAAGUGGUGGUGUCUACUCGUUUUCAGGAGAAUCAAUGCACAAGGCAUCUUCCAUAUCUAAGCUUUCAAGAUCUGCCCAACGUAACAACAAAUGCUAUGAGAUAACAGCAGAUGACAGUGAUGGAGUGGCCUUGAAUGGAAAAUUUUCUAUUAAGGAGACUUCUCCCAGAAGAAAGUCGUGGGAAGGUAUGCUUCGGCACCAAGAUUCCAUGGAGCAGUGGAGCUCACCAGAGUCAGUGAAUCCACACGUUACUCAAGGAAUAAAAAAGCUAUUUAAAUGGUCCCGAGGCAUCCAAAAGAAUAGCUUGAAGGCCAAGCUUUUGGAAGCCAGGAUGGAAAGCCAGAAAGCUCAGCUGCGCAGUGUUCUUAAACAAAAGAUUUAGGUGUAGUAACUUCCCAAAAUUCUGCUGUUUGAGCAGUUCUAACCAGAAGAACAAUGUGUCCGUCAGCCCAAAAGCCUCGUUAAUGCUGGAGUUUAGGGGAGAAAAUUGUAAACCUCAAGUAGACGGACAUCUAUCGAUCGAUCUUCUUGCAUGCUUGUUUCAUCGAUCAUUAUCAGCCCUGGACUCUGCUUAUUUUCAUGCAAGUCAUUAAAGAUAGAACGCAUUAUACUCGGAUGCACUCGCUGCGUUGUCAGAUAAAUGCUCAAGGAAAAUAUCUAAAUCCAUUUAUUACAGAAAUAGCAUCUUUCUCUGUCAUCUACUUUGUCUUGAUUCAUCAUAAUGCUGUUGUAGAAUACAAGACGCCAGCUGCUAACUUCUUUCUCUUUACUAGCUCCAUUUGAUGAAGCCACAAAAAGGGAAAAAAAGUGGUUACUGUGAAAAAUA
Populus euphratica (Euphrates poplar) is the source of this 2628-nucleotide RNA transcript. It is a transcript of the gene named myosin heavy chain, skeletal muscle-like, with no coding region annotated. The record is from RefSeq and is a predicted model, not a curated record. Lineage: Eukaryota; Viridiplantae; Streptophyta; Magnoliopsida; Malpighiales; Salicaceae. The transcript has 3 exons.